AUUUGUUGGUUGGAAAUAGAAGUAUUUCAUGAAAAUGGAAGCAGGUGAAAAUCCUGAGCUGUCCCGCAGCCGUGAAAGGGAGUUAAAGCGUAAUACCACUGGGAAACUGGGAAGGUGCUAAGACGUUGAACUUGAGCCGGAAUACAUGCCAACAUCU
RNAcentral lists this non-coding RNA (157 nucleotides) under uncultured Massilimicrobiota sp. The record is from RNAcentral. Lineage: Bacteria; Bacillati; Bacillota; Erysipelotrichia; Erysipelotrichales; Erysipelotrichaceae.